CUCAGGAACAGGUCCUCUCGAGAAAACCGGUCUUUGAGAGAUCGGUCCCUCGAGUGGGAGACCGGUCCCUCGCUGCGUGACAGAAAACACAACGUUCGGGAAUCGGUCUCUCAUGCCAGAGACCGAUCCCUCGCUGCGUGACAGAGAAACCCAUGUUCGGGAACCGGUCUCACUUUCCAGAGACCGGUUGCCUUAAUAUUCUAUGCAGUGAGGACCCUCGGGGACUGGUCUCUCAACCCUGGAACCGGUCCCAGAACACUGAGAAGUUCAGAUUCAGCUUCUUAAUGCAAUCCAAGUCUUCUAAACUUAUUUUUUGAUUAAAAUCACCAUAAAUGAUCUAUUUUUCAUACCUGAGGUGCCGAGCUUUCCGAAUGAAUCUUUGAUCUUCAACUUGCAUCUUAGUUUCAAAACUCCGUGCUUGAUUUUUCAAGACUCCAUUUGACUUUACGAAAUCCGCCAACCUAAAAAAUCCAUAACAAAUCCGGGGGUAUCGCCUCAUUAACUCACCAACUCAAAGUCCAUAAUCGCGGGCCCUCAGCUUCCUCCCGCUAGGACUAUCCUCUGGGGAACAGAACCACCCAGUGAUGACAAACUCCGGAGCGCAUCGCCCGAGGGGGAGCUACCGCCCUCGAGCAAGGACUUAUAGCGAGUAUGAUCAAUCCUUAACUCUAAGGAUAUUCAGUUCAAUCUGUUCCUUAACUCUAAGAAAUUUAUGCACAAAUGACCCUUAGCUCUAAGGUUGAAUGUCAUUGUGUCAAUCUCAUGUUCUUUGCAUUCUUUAUCUUCGACCAUGUCAAUACACUAACUCUAGUGUUCUUUACAUUCUUUACUAUCAUUCAUAUUAUACAUUAACUCUAGUAUUCUUGGAUGCCCCACAUUUAAUGCUAUCUUUAGCCAUUGUUCUUUAUGCCACAUUUUGUUGCUAACUCUAGCAAUUGUCAUUCUUUGAUGCCACACAUUUGCUAACUCUAGCUUUUAUCAUUCUUUAUACCACAUUUGUUCUCUUUGAUGCCACACACAUUAGCUCUAGUGUUCUUUACGUCAUACGUCAUGCUAACUUUAGCUUUCAUUCUCAACAUUACAUUGUCCUCAUGUCAUAUGUCACUUGUUCUUUAACUUCAUUAAGCUCUUAUCUCUUUUUACAUGCACAUAUAGGGUUAUUACAUUCUCAUCGGUUUUCAACCAUUUCAUGAUGCACUUGAACUCACAAAAUGCAAGCAUUCACAUAUUUAUAAUCUCAUUACCCUACUAUGCAUGCAACAAUUAUAUAUGUAUGCUCAAGAAGUGACACAUUAGACAUAAAGGGAAUUCCAACAAGUUUGGAAGGCACCACCCACCUCGUAGGCUUUCUUAGGUGCUACGGUAAUUUUCUUGGAAUUUUUAGACUCCUAAUUCGUCACCUGCGGCAAAACGAAGCCAUAUUAGGCCUUUUUGCUCAUAACUUUACAUAGGCUUUUUGUAAUGUCAAUCCGAGCUCACCAACGCGUUCGUUUGGUCCCCAAUUAGGUUUCUAGAUGGUCAAUUUCACUUUGAAUCCCUCACAAGCAAAAGUUCCAAAUUUUAGGUGCCCUAGCUUCACAUACACCAAAUCUAGGAUUUUGAUCUCUUAGAGAAGCAAAAGAAAGCUUCAAAACUCUUUAAUCAUUCCAUUAAAACCAUUUUUAGGUCAAUCAAAACCCAUUCUAGGGUUUCACCAUGAGAGGGGUUGAAGCUUACCUCUAAGCUUCACCACCUACACCCAAUCCAUGGUUUUGAUCUCAUCCACAAGCAAAAGAAAGCUUGAAAUACCCCAAAAGGCUCUACUAAAACUAUUCAUAGGUCCUUUGGUUCUCAUCUUAGGGUUUUACUAUGAAAGGGAUCAAAGCUUACCUCAAAGCUUUCCCUUCUUUGCUCCAAAGAGGAAGAAGAAGGAGUUGCUCCACUCCUUGGUCUUCUUCUCCACCUUUGUCUUCUUCUACUUCUCCCUCUUUUCUUUUCUUUCUCUUUCUUUCUUCUUCUCCUUCUUGUCUUCUAGAGAGAGAAAGAGGGGAGAGAGUGUGUGAGAGGGAGAGAAUGAGAGAAAUAUCCCAUAACCCCUCAUAACAUAACCCAUGGGUUUAAUUGCAAAUAAACCCCUCAACUUUCACUUUAUUAAACUGCCCAAACUGGGCCAUUUUCGAGCUCGGGGACCGGUCUCCCUGACAAGGGACCGGUCCCAGAGAGCUUUCCCCAUGGGCAGCCAAGGCCCCCGCGCAAUGCAACCAGUCUCUCCCAGAGGGACCGGUCUCUCGGGGACCGGUCUCUCCCCGCAGGGACUGGUUUCCGAGAGCUGGUUUUCUGGGACUUAGCCGAUUUUUCAGCUUUCUCAUUUCUCACGCGUUCGGGGACCGAUCUCUCCCACCAGGGACCGGUCCCCGAGAGCACAAAAGCUGCAGUUUGCAAAUUUUUAUUUCUUUAGCUCUCGAAGAUCUCUUUAAACGCACUUUUACUUAUUUUAACACCUUCGGACUUUCCGAAGUGUACCAUCCUCACACUUUGGUCAAUCUGACUAAAGUUCGAUAUUUAUUUUUCGAAUUUUCGGUAUAUUAAAGACGGAAUUGGAUGUUAUUUUUACUCGCUAUGUGAGCUUAGCGAUACCCUUUAGGACUUAGAACCAUGUCAUGAAAUGGAUAUUUGGUGAUGCCACUUUAGCAUAAUAUCUAAGGGCCAUAAUUGAUUCAGUUCAGCGGAACAUGUCUAGGAAAGCAGUCAAGUUGAAAUGGAUUGGCAUGAGACAUAUGAGGAAAAAUCAUUUGACAAUACACCUAUAAUUCUUGACUCAUAGCCCAGGUGAUUAUGUUGAUAUUUGUUAUUAAUAUAAUCAUGAGUGCAGAUGCACUGAUAAGAGAGAUCUAACUUGCUCUAUAGGGAUUAGAGAUGCUAAAAUCUGGUAUUGUUCAAUGAUUUGUGGUAUAGAAGAGAUUUGGAGUUGUAGUGUUAUAUUAGUUGGAUAGUGGCUUAAUAUAAUACUCCUCACUUGAUUCCUCUUGUUAUUGAUUGCACCAAUUAUUUCUCGUAUGAAGAGUAGAACGAGAUAAGAAUAUAUUUGUGAUGAGACAAUAUGAAUAAGUACCAAGUGUACGAGUGGGAGAGUUAGGAUUCGUCCACAUUGGAACAUAUCUAAAAUAUUUCUAAUCCACAUCGGAUAAGGAAUAAAAUUAAGAGAUAGAUCCUAAUAUAUUUAAAUCUCUAUCUAUGUGAGAUUCCGUUAGAAUAGGAUUGGAACUAACAUCUUUUCUAUGGCCUAUAAAUACAUGAGAUAUUGGCUGCAUACAAUACAAAAAAAAAAAAAAAAAAAAGAAUAAUCUCUCCACAAAAUUCUUUUUCUUGGGUUCACUCUAGGGCAUCAUCAGAAACCUUAGGGAUUUGGGCGGUGUGCUGCAAUCCACUCUGAUAGCCUAUUAGCAACGAGAAAGAACAACAUGUAAGAAAUUGAGACAGAUUGCUGGCGGAUUAAGGAGUUCGUAAAACAAGAUGAGAUCAAAUCCUAAUAAUUGCAACAUUAAUUCCGCAUCAAAGAGGUAUGUAAAAAUCUAUAUCAUUUUUGUACUUUGAUUUGGUUAUUUAUUUUUCCUACAAUUCUAUUAGGCCUAGUUUUGGAUUUAUCUUGCAAAAUCAUCUCUGUUUUUAUACUUUGGAAGGUUUCAAUCUUCUCUGUUUUAGUAUUACCAAAUUGUAAUGAAAAUUGAAAGUGGAGAAGCAUGUAGUUGCAUGCUUCUUAGAAAGAAUAAUUAGAAUUCCAAGAAGCUUUUCAGUGACAACACCUACAAUCUAUAUUUAUUUAUUUCAUUGAUUAUUUAAUUCUUUUUCAAAACCAUAUAUCCUAUUUUCACAGUUAUUUACCUAAAGAAAUAAGGAACAUACUAUUAGAAUUUUAGUUAGAUUUGUAGUUAAAUUCUAGUUAAAUUAAAAUAAAUAUUUAAAUCUAUCAAAAAUAAAUUAAUUUAAAUUUAAAUAUUAAUUAGAAUCGAAUUUUUAAUUAUACUAGAAUUGGAGUAAGUUUUUCUUGAGCUUAAUAUAUAAUUCCAUGGUAUACGGGUUUGUAUGGCUUAGCCUUGUAGUACGGCCAAUUAAUUAGUUGCUUUAUAGUUAGCAGAGCAGAGAAGGUGAGGCCCUAUCAGAGAGAGAGCAGCAAUAUGCUUAGUGCACCUGGUGUCUAGGUGCAUAAGAAUUGUUGAAGUUAGAUGAUUUGAGCAUAGGUUUGAUUUCAAUGAGAGAAGUCUUCUAAACUUAUAGAAGACAAGAGAAGGGUGAGAGGGAUUCAGAAAUAGGGCUUAGGUUGAAGCUACUCUAUACAGAAGAGAAAUCACAUAUAAUUCUUCUCUUAUUUAGUAAAUUUUGUUUUAUCUGUAUUUUCUAUUUGAUUUUUUUCCUUUUUGUAGCUAUGCCAGCUGUUUGCUGAGGAAACGGGUUUCUGGUAAAAAUUUGAUUUGAGCUUUUGUUACGCAAUACCAACUACUGGUACCAAAUCAACAGCGGUCGAUAUCAAGGCGGAUUGCGAAUUUUUCAAAAUAUGAUAUUAGAGUGAGUACCAAAUUCUCAAUAAUUGGUAUUAGAGCUUAAGGUUACUGAUCUUCCGGAGAGAUCGACGAAGAUCGCUACAAAAUUGGAAAUUGAGAAGUUCGACGAUAAAUAAUUUCGGAUUGUGAUAGAUUAAAGUACGGAAAGUCCUCAUACAACAAGAGUUAGAUGAGAUGUUGAACAGGAAGGAAGCGAAGCCGGCAAAGGUCACGGAUUCGAGUUGGGAGAAGAUAGAGUGGAAGGCACCGAGUACGCUUCAUUUAUUAUUAGCAGAUAAGGUUCUUUGCAACAUAGCCAGCAAGUCAACACUGGCGAAGUUGUGGAAGAAAUUGGAAGAGAUCUAUACAUGACUAAAUUCCUGACAAAUUGUAUAUGAAGUAACGACUAUUCAUGCUGCGGAUGCACGAAAUGACGAGCCUAUAUGAGCAUCUGAAUGAGUUCAAUAAGGUGGUAAAUAAGCAGCCUGGUAAAUAAGGUUCGAAAGUGAGAUCGGAUCGUGUGCGAGGUAAAUAAGCAGAGAAAUUUAUACGUUCUGAAUGGGAGCACAGCCUGAACAGGAGAAAAGACGGUUUGGGCUCUAAAAGUUUAUGAAGGUGCAGCCGCUCGAGGUGGAGUAGCGAAUGUGGCGACAUCGAGCGAAGGAGAUACACUCAAAGUGAAGCUCGUAUAGUGAGCUCGACACAAAAGUUGAAGACAACAAAUCAAAUCACGGUGAAGAUUGUUAGAAUUUUGGUUGGAUUUGUAGUUAAAUUUUAGUUAAAUUAGAAUAAAUAUUUAAAUUCAUUAGAGAUAAAUUAAUUUGAAUUUAGAUAUUACUUAUAGUUGAAUUUCUAAUUAUAUUACAAUUGGGUACGUUUUUGUGAAGUUUAAUAUAUCCACGCAAGCCAGUUCGUGUUCGGCUCGAAAUGAGCUCGAGAUCGAAUCGCUCGUUUAUUAAACGAGCCGAACAUGAGCUGGGGUCAGCUCGCUCGUGUUCGGCUCGAUAACAGCUCGAAUACAUAUAUUUAUAUUUAUAUAAUUUGUUUAAUUUAUAUUUAUAUAUAUAAAUAAAUAAUUAUAUAUAUAAUAUAUAUUUUUAUUAUUUAAUUUUUAGCAAAAUAAAAAUAUAAAGGCGAGCUCAAUUAUAAAAAAAUCCAUUUAUAUGUAAAGUUUUAACUAUUAGAUCAAAGUCUAAUGGAUAAGAUUUUAUAAAUUUAUUUUUUAUAUAUAUGUCAAUCCUAUUUUCCUUUUAACUAUUGUCGUGGCACUCGUGUUCAGGCUCGUUCAAUUAAGAGGCAGAACACGAGCUGAAUUUUUUGACUCGAUACCUUAACGAGUCAGCUCGUGUUCAACUUGUUUAAUAAACAAGCCGAACACGAGCCAACCGAGCUCGGUCGUGUUCGGCUCGUUUACACCCCUGCUCCAUGGUAUGCCGUAGAGGUGUUGCUCUCUAAUUAGUAGAGCAGACAGGUGAGACUGUACGGGAGAGUGAGCCAAUAUGCUUAGUGCACCUGGUGUAUAGGUGCAUAAGAAUGGUUAAAGUUAGAUGUUUUGAGCGUAGGUUCGAUUUCAACGGGAGAAAUCUUCUUGAAAAGGGUGAGAGGAAUUGGCAAAGAGGGUGACGGCCGAAACUAUUUUAUGGAGAAGUGUAAUUUAUUUUUAUUUACUGAAUCUUAUUAUACCUGUAUUUUCAGUUUGGUUUUUUUUUUUUGGUUGUGUAAAUUGUUUGCUAAGAAGACGAAUUUAUAAUAAAAAUUCAAUUUGACACUUUUAUUGCGGAAUACCAAUAAUCAAUACCAAAUCAACAACAGUCGAUAUCAAAGCGCAUUGUAAAUUUUCAAAAUCUGAUAUCAGAACGAAUAUUACAUUCCCAACACAUAUUUCGAAAACAAGUACUUUCGGAUUGUGAAGAAAUUAAUAGCAAAGAAGUAAAAGAUUUUAAGUAGCUAAAAAUUUUGAAAUAUGGUUAGUAAUUGACAGUUUUCUAUGAAUGGAGUUUGAACAAAUUAUUUACAUAUUUACCAGAGAAGCUUGUCGUGUUUUGUGUCUGGAUGAGUUUUAACAAAUGAUCGACUCUGCCUUAUAUUAUAUUAUAGGACAAAAAUUUGCUCGGCAUCCGUGCCUAAACAAAUCCGUGCCCAAACAAAUUGUUUGGGCACGGAGCCGGAUGGGCGCCCCAUCACCACCGCCCCUUUCCCCUUUCUCUCUCUCUUUCUAAAAAACAGAGCCCACCAAUUUUUUUUUCUUUUUUCCGAGGGUCGCGAUGGGCGCCGCACGCCGCACACCACGCGGCGCCCAUCGGCAUCGUCCCCGAACAAAAUUGUUUGGGGACGAUGCCCAGCAAAUUUUUGUCCUACUAGUUAAGGGACCCCGCGCUUCGCGGCUGGAAGCCAAUACAAUAAUAAAUUAUUAGAAAUAUUAAAAUCAUUUUUUUUUUCAUAUUAUGUAUUAAUAUUUUUAAAUAUUAUUUAUUUCCGUAUUGAAUAAUUAAAAAUGAAAGAAUGAACUAAAUAAUCCAAAAAAAUAAGGUUAACAUAAUGAGUUGCCGUGUAGAACUUAGACAUUUAUCAGGCAAAUGCAAAUCUGUUGACCAUCAAUUAAUGUAAAUUUCAUGCGAGCCAAUAAACACAGCUUGAAGAGCAUAAUCCAAAAAAUAAGGUAGAAGUAAUAAGUAAACACAGCUUGAAGAGCAUAAUCCAAAACAUAACAGUAAUGCAAACCGGAAUGUAAAGACAGAUAAAUCUGUUGACCAUCAAUUAAUGUAAAUUUCAUGUGAGCCAAUAAACACAGCUUGAAGAGCAUAAUCCAUAAAAUAAGGUAGAAGUAAUAAAUAAACACAGCUUGAAUAGCAUAAUCCAAAAAAUAAGGUAGAAGUAAUAAGCUGCCUUCCUUUCAUACCGAAAACCGGACAAAAGGUGUGAAAAUAAAUAGUAGAUAACAACUGAAGUACGGAAUUAAAGGUAAGUACAUAGUCUGAUAAGCCACACUUAAAAGCUGUGUGCAAUAGCUUUGGCCAAAACAAAAGGAUGGCAACAAAAUGAUAAGUGAGGUAGUAACUAACUACAUAUUCUUACAUGCCAAGCUUAUAAAGCCAACAGUAUCCAAAAUCAAAGUAUGGCAUCAAAAUAGAAUAUGAGUAUACAAAAGAGCCAUUAGUUAAGGCAAUUGAUUAGACAUGGCUUUAGAGGGAUUGGUCUCAGGAACAGGAGGAGGUGUAAGAGCAGUAAUGCGGUUUACUAUGUCAUAGCAUUCUCCAACGGCACGCCGAAGCUGGAUUUGGUCAUUGACAUAUACAUUUUUUUGCUCAACUGUACUCACGAAGCAUUCCUUCAAAAAGUCGUAUUCACGAGAAAGGUUGCUAAGCUGCGUACUUAAUUGUGUAGUUACCACUGUAUAAUCAGUACAUUUGUGGUCAUAUAAAGUCUUAUAGAGCACAGAGUCGUCAUAAUUAACAUCUUUAAUUUGUAAGUCGCAUUCAUCCUUAAUUCUCUUAAGAGCGAGGCGCGCAACAUCUUGUUGAGCACCAAUGGAAGUAGGGAACUGAGAGCUUGAACAACAAACAGUUUGGAUGAUGGUUUUGCUUCGCGGAAUUGCAAAUCCACAUGACCUACAAAUUUUCCUUCAUCAUCCACAUCUACUACAAUCUGUGGCACAUCCAGGUGUAGCUGUUCAUAAACCUCACUGAGCAGUCUAAUGUAAGAAACGUUAAUAGUCGUCAUUUCUCGAGCUGCGGAGAAAAAGGGAAGAAAACAGUUUUUUUUUUUUUCAAAUAUUGGGAGAGGGUUAUAGUGAAAUAAGUUAGAAUGGUGAAAAAAAAAGAAAGAAAAGGAAACGAAAGAUAUCAUGACCAGCUAAUAAAAGCAGAAAAGAAAGGCAUGAAAAAAAGAGGAAAAAAUGCUUAUGUAAAGAAUAACCAAAGCUGCAGGCACACACACACGUUUAUAGUGAGGGAAGAAGAAUCAGAUGGCAUUUAUAGUGAGGGAAGAAGAAGCAGAUGGUUCUUUAAUGCCAUUCAAAGUGUUUUACCUGCACGUUUUUUAACAGGAACCAUACGUAUUUUUGUAAAAANAGAGAGAGAGAGAGAGAGAGAGAGUGAGAGAGAGAGAGAGAGAGAGAGAGAGAGAAUUAGGAUGGAAUACUAUUAAUAGUAAAACGCUUGUUUUGCUAUCAAAUUUUUAACCCUUGGAUGAAAAAUUAUAGGGUCAGAAUGAUAUUAGUCGGUUAGAGUUGAGUGGUCCCCACUGGGUUAUAGUAUUUAAUCCAAUGGUUAGAAAUAAUGAAAAGAAUUGAUCCAGAGGCUAAAAAACUGGUAGCAACAAUGAGAUUUUGCUACUAAUAGUAGCCCAGUCCAACUCUAUAUAUAUGUAUAUAUAUAUAGACACACGCCCAUAAGCAAGUACAAUUGUUACACACUCUCUACCUUUUUUUUUUGGCAGGGGGAUCAGGUAAAAUGUCAUGCACAAAUCAAAACCAAAGCAAACAGGAAAUUGCAAGUAGAAAAAUUAGCGAGGCUCAGAUACUCUAUAUGUAAGCAGCAUUGCUACCAUCCUUUUAUUUAAGUCAUCGGCUGAACAUAAGAGGCUGUAAAUGGUUGCAGAUGGUUGCCUGGGAAAAGGCCAUCCAAACCUGCAAUGCUUAGCCUUUCGCUGGAAUGGAGCAGGAAAAAAGCAAGGAGAAAAAGGCGGGUGAAGUUGAGUGAAAACGUGAAGCUUCAUUUGAAAAGGCGGCAAGUAAAAAAUCUGUAAAACAAUUGAACCAAAUGCUAAAACAGUAAACAAGUAGGGGAUGAUUAAGAAAAGAAAGAACCCAAGCUGUA
This 9334-nucleotide long non-coding RNA is filed under the name Ananas comosus (pineapple). Its description in RNAcentral is "long non-coding RNA (ACOM_LNC026633)". The record is from RNAcentral. Lineage: Eukaryota; Viridiplantae; Streptophyta; Magnoliopsida; Poales; Bromeliaceae.